Long non-coding RNA from Haliotis rubra (blacklip abalone), 320 nucleotides. RefSeq lists it as uncharacterized. NCBI's taxonomy places the organism in Eukaryota, Metazoa, Mollusca, Gastropoda, Lepetellida, Haliotidae. The record is from RefSeq and is a predicted model, not a curated record. The transcript has 3 exons.
AGUUUACCUAUCGGCAUCCAUGGUUUGCCUGCACCAAAACCACAUUCACUUCCAUUACAUUAUGCUGUCAUGCAGUGACGUAACUAGUUUACUCUGUACGUAUCUACCAGGCAAUCAGAAGCAGGGGCAUAUCUACGAUUCCCAACAAAGUGCCCCUGGGACUUUUUCAAACUUGAUAUUUUCCAAAAUCCAGAGAUAUUUACAACCUUUUAACAUUGCAUUCACUGAAUAAUAUAAAACAAAGUUUAUAAAUCAGUAAAACAUUGCAUUCGAUGAAUAAUGUAAAACAAAGUUUAUAAAUCAGUUUAACAUUGCAUCCA